RNAcentral lists this ribosomal RNA (634 nucleotides) under uncultured bacterium. Its description in RNAcentral is "bacterial SSU rRNA". It matches the Rfam family "Bacterial small subunit ribosomal RNA", at positions 9 to 665 of the family's 1533-position model. The record is from RNAcentral.
GAGUUUGAUCAUGGCUCAGAACGAACGCUGGCGGCAGGCUUAACACAUGCAAGUCGAGCGCCCCGCAAGGGGAGCGGCAGACGGGUGAGUAACGCGUGGGAACGUACCCUUUACUACGGAAUAACGCAGGGAAACUUGUGCUAAUACCGCAUGUGCCCUUCGGGGGAAAGAUUUAUCGGUAAGGGAUCGGCCCGCGUUGGAUUAGCUAGUUGGUGGGGUAAAGGCCUACCAAGGCGACGAUCCAUAGCUGGUCUGAGAGGAUGAUCAGCCACAUUGGAACUGAGACACGGUCCAGACUCCUACGGGAGGCAGCAGUGGGGGAAUAUUGGACAAUGGGCGCAAGCCUGAUCCAGCCAUACCGCGUGGGUGAAGAAGGCCUUCGGGUUGUAAAGCCCUUUUGUUGGGAAAGAAAUCCUGCCGGUUAAUAACCAGUAGGGAUGACGGUACCCAAAGAAUAAGCACCGGCUAACUUCGUGCCAGCAGCCGCGGUAAUACGAAGGGUGCAAGCGUUACUCGGAAUUACUGGGCGUAAAGCGUGCGUAGGUGGUUGUUUAAGUCUGCUGUGAAAGCCCUGGGCUCAACCUGGGAAUUGCAGUGGAUACUGGGCGACUAGAGUGUGGUAGAAGAUAUGGAA